Molecule: ribosomal RNA, 885 nt
Filed under: uncultured marine bacterium
Lineage: Bacteria
Description: bacterial SSU rRNA
Rfam family: Bacterial small subunit ribosomal RNA
Source: RNAcentral
AUGCAAGUUGAGCGAAGCUUUUUGGUAGUUUACUACUAGAAAUGACUGAGCGGCGAACGGGUGAGUAACGCGUGAGCAAUCUACCUUAGUUACUGGGAUAGCCCGAGGAAACUCGGAUUAAUACCGGAUAUUCUUAUUUUUUCACAUGAAGUUUUAAGGAAAGGUCAGCCGAACUAAGAUGAGCUCGCGUUCUAUCAGCUAGUUGGUGGGGUAAAAGCCUACCAAGGCUACGACGGAUAGCUGGUCUGAGAGGACGAUCAGCCACACUGGGACUGAGACACGGCCCAGACUCCUACGGGAGGCUGCAGCAGGGAAUAUUGUGCAAUGAGCGAAAGCUUGACACAGCGACACCGCGUGUGGGAUGACGGUUCUAGGAUUGUAAACCACUUUCAGGAGGGAAGAAAAUGACGGUACCUCCACAAGAAGACCCGGCCAACUAUGUGCCAGCAGCCGCGGUAAUACAUAGGGGUCAAGCGUUGUCCGGAUUUAUUGGGCGUAAAGAGCUCGUAGGCGGUUCAACAAGUCGGUCGUAAAAGUUUAGGGCUCAACCCUAAAAUGUCGAUCGAUACUGUUGUGACUAGGAUACGGUAGAGGUGAAUGGAAUUCCGAGUGUAGCGGUGAAAUGCGUAGAUAUUCGGAGGAACACCAAUUGCGAAGGCAGUUCACUGGACCGUGAUCGACGCUGAGGAGCGAAAGCUAGGGGAGCAAACAGGAUUAGAUACCCUGGUAGUCCUAGCUGUAAACGAUGGAUACUAGAUGUAGAACUGGAUUGACGGUUUCUGUAUCGUAGCUAACGCGUUAAGUAUCCCGCCUGGGGAGUACGGUCGCAAGACUAAAACUCAAGGAAUUGACGGGACCCCGCACAAGCGGCGGAGCAUGCGGCUU